AUGGCGGGCCGUGCCGGGCCAGGCACGAUUAGCACGGGCCGGGCCGUGCCGUGCCGGGCCGGCCCGUUUGGCCAGCCGGCUGCGCCGCGUCGUCGUCGGAGCUCUCCUGCUGUUAGCCGGAGGCCACAACGCCUACUCGGGCCGCCCGGUCUUCUCGCUGCCCCUCGGCCUCGGCGCCCGCCCCCGCCCUUCCCGUUCGCUGCCGACUUUUCGCCAUCGCCGUCGCCGUCGCCGCGAUCCUUCCGCCUCAGCGAUGACAGCCUCGCGCGGCGCCUUCUGCCCCUCCGCCUCCGCGCCGGCCACGCGCAGCCGCCGCAGGACGCGGAUGUGGAUGCGGUCCUCCUUCCCGACCAGGAGGUCCUGAUCCUGGACGACGCUGAGCCUACCGGCGACGCCAUCUGCGCCUUCAAGGGUGGGGCGUCCUCCCCGGCGAGACCGCUCGGGAGGCUGCCGGCGUCCGGGCUUCACGCAUACGUCUGCCGCCUUCCCGAGCCAGCGCAGAGCUUCCAGCAGCUCCAAGCGCCGCUCUUACUCCACUCCUCCACCUCCUCGGCCGCCGCAGCUGCUCCAGAUUCCCCUUCUCCUUCCCCGGGCCGCGCAUUGCUUAACUGGAGCAGCGACCCGAUAGUGUUCGACUCGGCUCUUCUGGACGGAGGCGAUGUGCUCGUCUUUGCAAAGGGAGUCAGCCGCCGCCAAGGUCUUCAGUGCCUGUAUCGCUACAGCGACGACGCCGUUACCAUGCUGGCAUCUUCACCAGCAAUCGCCUCAGUACAACAAGUUACUCGCUGCCCCUCGCCACCGACGCCUAUCAAGUCAGGAGGAAGCACCAAGGUUCUUGUCACACUAGGGGUCACCGGCGAGGAUCCCAUGCCCUCCCUUGCAACCUUUCGCCGACAGCAAGCUGAAUCUUCUUCAGUGACUCUUCAAAAGAGUUCAAUUUGCGCCUGCACAAUGGGACGCAACAUCUCCAAGUUUCUCAGGAAGUGGGCACUGUACCAUAGUGCGAUUGGGGUGGACAAGUUCUUUAUCUACGAUAAUGGCAGCGAGGACAACUUGGCAGGCCUAGUGGCGCAGCUCAUAUCCGCAGGUUCUUGCCAAUGGAUGGCUGUCAUGGACGUCGAUGAGUUCAUCUUCUCAACAAACUGGAUAGGAUUAGAGAAGCCAUCAAAAUCUUUGCUAGAGCCCGUCAUUUCUGUUGAUGAUAGCGUUGGCCAAAUAUACCUUCCGUGUUAUGAUUUUGCGGUCGUCGGCAUCAGCAAUAGGGGAAGACGGAUCUGUUCUGCACAUCCACCAGAGGGGGUCUGCCAGGGCUACACGUGCCGGUUGAAGAACCCGCAGCGGCACAAAUCCUUGGUCCGUCUCAACGCUGUGGAACCAUCCCUCAUGAAUGUGGUCCAUCAUUUUAAGCUCAAGCCUGAUUUCAAAAGCAUCUGGACCGCGUUCGCACGUAUUAACCACUACAAAUACCAAGCUUGGUCGGAGUUCAAAAUCAAGUUCAAGAGGCGCGUGUCUGCUUAUGUUGCUGAUUGGAAAGAUCCGAUCAACCUCGACUCAAAGGACCGGGCUCCCGGCUUAGGAGUUGAUGACACCGAACCAGAUGGCUGGGCCCAAAAAUACUGCGAGGUUAAAGACAAUAUCCUUCAGCUGUUAACUGCAAGAUGGUUUGGUGUCGGAUUUGGGAACCCUCAUUAG
Molecule: ribosomal RNA, 1692 nt
Filed under: Triticum aestivum (bread wheat)
Lineage: Eukaryota; Viridiplantae; Streptophyta; Magnoliopsida; Poales; Poaceae
Description: partial small subunit ribosomal RNA
Source: RNAcentral